GAAGUUUGUUGUACGAUGUGAAAAAUAGUCACCUUACCUACACUAGGUGAUUCUGAAUGUGAUGAGGCACUUAAUCUCUUCUUCAAGUUUUCAACACUAUUUUCUUGAGGU
This is a long non-coding RNA of Limulus polyphemus (Atlantic horseshoe crab), 111 nucleotides long. RefSeq lists it as uncharacterized. The record is from RefSeq and is a predicted model, not a curated record. Lineage: Eukaryota; Metazoa; Arthropoda; Merostomata; Xiphosura; Limulidae. The transcript has 3 exons.